CCUCUGAAGAAAUAUGCAGUGCUUCUGACGAUGGUCUCAAAAUGAGAUAGGAUUUUCGUUAUAAUAAUUUACAUCUACUAUCCUCCAAAACAGCAGCCCAUUGCCUGCCCAGGUUAGGCAUGGAUUUUCCAUCUGUGCAGGCAUACCGGAGAAGAGCUUUUGACUCGCAUAAACAUAAACGAUGAGGGCUAUCAAAUACCACUGGUCUAGGAUUUUCAUAAAUUGCAUAUCGAAAGUACCCCCGAAGCUAUAAGGUCUGCGAUCAUGAGAGCUCCGACGUUGAGAUCAGAAAGGGCACCAUUGAGACACGGCCAUUAAGCUGGUGAAAAACGGGCUAUUUAUGCCAGAUGGCGGGCAAUAGCUGUGGGAUAGAGCGGAGUGCAGAUGGAAUGACUGUUGUUAGGUGGGAAUAUAUUCCCGGACGCCCUUUCUCCGGGGCUUGACUGGACAAAACGCUUGAGGAUGAAGAACUUAACGGCCUUGGAGAGUAUGAAGUGGGAGAAGGGAGUGGAACAGAUGCUGAAUAGGAAUGCAUUAUAGGGUUGGGUGAAACCGAGAUGAGUGUAAAUUGAUGACUCGAGGAAAAAGGUAAGGGACCGACGGUGAAGAAUUGGGCCUUCCCGAAAAGGGAUUGAUUUGAAAGAAUUUCAGGAUUGCCAGCUGGCUCAUUGACGAAAUGCUGGUCAGCUAUUUCUAUUUCAACUGUUGCUCGUAUGCAGCUUCAUUCGUAACAAAAAUCCUCGGAGGAAAUGUUGGCAUGAUGCCCACCACC
Molecule: small RNA, 772 nt
Filed under: Histoplasma capsulatum var. duboisii H88
Lineage: Eukaryota; Fungi; Ascomycota; Eurotiomycetes; Onygenales; Ajellomycetaceae
Description: Histoplasma capsulatum H88 hypothetical RNA
Source: RNAcentral